RNAcentral lists this ribosomal RNA (522 nucleotides) under uncultured bacterium. Its description in RNAcentral is "partial 16S ribosomal RNA". It matches the Rfam family "Bacterial small subunit ribosomal RNA", at positions 29 to 523 of the family's 1533-position model. The record is from RNAcentral.
AACAAACGCUGGCGGCGUGCCUAACACAUGCAAGUCGUGCGAGAAAGUUCCCUUCGGGGAGCGAGUAAAGCGGCGAACGGGUGAGUAACACGUGGGCGACCUGCCCUUGGGACGGGGAUAAUGUGCCGAAAGGUGCGCUAAUACCCGAUUUGACCACACGGACUAAUGUCCGAGCGGUAAAUGGAUGGCCUCUACUUGUAAGCUAUCGCCUGAGGAUGGGCCCGCGGCCUAUUAGCUAGUUGGUAGGGUAACGGCCUACCAAGGCUAUGAUGGGUAGCCGGCCUGAGAGGGUGUACGGCCACACUGGAACUGAGACACGGUCCAGACUCCUACGGGAGGCAGCAGUGGGGAAUUUUGCGCAAUGGGGGAAACCCUGACGCAGCGACGCCGCGUGAGCGAUGAAGGCCUUCGGGUCGUAAAGCUCUUUUAGUGGGGAAGAAAUGCAUCGGCGUGAAUAUCGCCGGUGCUUGACGGUACCCACAGAAAAAGUCCCGGCUAACUCCGUGCCAGCCGCCGCUGUAA